UGAAAUUAGAGCCCUGAACAUGCUAUCUGGUAAGGUUUCAAUAUAAUUCUAUAGAAAUAAACAGACACACAAUACCAUACAAUAGUUUUGUACUCGAAUUACGUUGGAAUAUCAUUGCUGAAUCUGCAUGGGUUUCUUUUUUUUUUUUUUUUUUUUGACUGAGUAACACAUUGAUUGAGCUCACAAGGCCCUUCACAUGCUUCUGUGUGAUUGUCAGGCUUGAUUAAACCAGAUCUUUGUAUAAAGAUUGAGCCUGAGUCCUAAAAUGAAAGUCAAAGCCAGAGGAGAGAUACACAUGCAUCCAUGUACCUGAACAAAGAUAAAUGAGAUGACAGAUCUGACAUAAAUGACAUGACAGAAAAAAAUAGGCUGAAACAUAAAACAUUUUAACCUAAAUUGGUUUUAUUACAAGGAGGAAAUCCUUCAAACAUGUCCCUAAUCUCAAUCAAAUGUGAUAAUAUUGUCUUAUCUUGCACACUUAAGAACUUUGUUUUGGGUUGUGCGUCGGUUGGCCUGAUAUUAUUGGUCUGUUAACUACUGUUUGCGAUUAGUUAUCGAUGAUUGUCUGCUCUGAUGUCCUCUAAAACCUCAGAGGACUACAGAUAUCUUUUUCUCCUUUUAUAUAUGCAACAUUGUACUUUGCAGGUAUCUGAAAGAGACAGAAGGCCUCAAUUUCCAAAAACAAAAUAACAUUUUCACUUUUCUGCCUUAGAAAUAUUGUUCACCUUUAACCCAAAUGUGUCAACUGUUGUACCUGAACAAAGGUAUCAUAGAAAGAAGUAUAUUAUAAUAUUCACUAUUUAACUACAGAUGCUAUAUUUUCUGAAUGUUUACAAUGACUGUAUUUGUGUGACAGAAGCUUAAUGGAUAAAGCAGAAUACAUGGAGUCACUCAGCAGCCCCACUCAGUGGAAAUUGCUCCUGCUCUUUAUACCAGUCGAUGAGAUAUCUGUGUGUACAGACCAGGACUUGAGUGCAACCAUUGAUGCAACAGUAAAUAGAGUGGAACAGACACUGGACUCUCUUCAUAAGAAGGUGAAGACAGUCAAUAUCCUUCAAACAACAAUUUUGAAUCGGUAUAUUGAGUGUUUACUACAACAGCUUUUUUUUUUUUCUCUCUAG
Cyprinus carpio (common carp) is the source of this 1121-nucleotide long non-coding RNA. The record is from Ensembl. Lineage: Eukaryota; Metazoa; Chordata; Actinopteri; Cypriniformes; Cyprinidae.